Molecule: ribosomal RNA, 411 nt
Filed under: uncultured bacterium
Lineage: Bacteria
Description: bacterial SSU rRNA
Rfam family: Bacterial small subunit ribosomal RNA
Source: RNAcentral
UAGGGAAUAUUGGACAAUGGGGGCAACCCUGAUCCAGCCAUGCCGCGUGAGUGAAGAAGGCCCUCGGGUUGUAAAGCUCUUUUGUCCGGAAAGAAAAGCUUCGGGUUAAUACCCCGGGGUUCUGACGGUACCGGAAGAAUAAGCACCGGCUAACUUCGUGCCAGCAGCCGCGGUAAUACGAAGGGUGCAAGCGUUACUCGGAAUUACUGGGCGUAAAGCGUGCGUAGGUGGUUGUUUAAGUCUGAUGUGAAAGCCCUGGGCUCAACCUGGGAAUGGCAUUGGAAACUGGGCAGCUAGAGUGCGGUAGAGGGUAGUGGAAUGCCCGGUGUAGCAGUGAAAUGCGUAGAGAUCGGGAGGAACAUCUGUGGCGAAGGCGACUGCCUGGACCAGCACUGACACUGAGGCACGAAA